Molecule: ribosomal RNA, 381 nt
Filed under: uncultured archaeon
Lineage: Archaea
Description: bacterial SSU rRNA
Rfam family: Archaeal small subunit ribosomal RNA
Source: RNAcentral
AAACUUUACAAUGCACGAAAGUGUGAUAAGGGAAUCCGGAGUGCUUACUUUCGAGUAGGCUUUUCUUAAGUGUAAGUAGCUUGAGGAAUAAGUGGUGGGCAAGACCGGUGCCAGCAGCCGCGGUAACACCGGCGCCACUAGUGGCAAUCGCGAUUAUUGGGCCUAAAGCGUCCGUAGCCGAUUUGAUAAAUCUCUUGUGAAAUUGUUGGACUUAAUUCAACAGAUUGCUGGAGAGACUGUCAGGUUAGAGACCGGGAAGAGGUAGAGGUAUUCCUUGGGUAGCGGUAAAAUGUGUUAAUCCUUGGAGGACCACCAAUGGCGAAGGCAUCUAUCUAGAACGGGUCUGACGGUGAGUGGACGAAAGCUGGGAGAACGAUCGGG